This 3619-nucleotide long non-coding RNA is filed under the name Daphnia pulicaria. RNAcentral's name for it is "uncharacterized LOC124349145, transcript variant X10". Lineage: Eukaryota; Metazoa; Arthropoda; Branchiopoda; Diplostraca; Daphniidae. The record is from RNAcentral.
UUAUCUCAAUUUCGCUGUAACAGAAAUAAUCCUUCAGAAAUUAGAUAUGCGGUUGUUUUCUUAAAACAAAAACGAGCUCUAUAGUCACUAUUCCUCGCCGAGUUAGAUUGCAAAAAGAUUCAACCACGCCAUAAUUAUUGUUUGUAAUCAUCCCCACAGAUUUCGAUUUCUACGUAUGUACUUUCUGUUUUCCCGCAAAGAAGCUUUCGCUUUUGAAUUCAACAGUUAUUAUUGACUACCUUACUGGCCAAGAACAAAGAUCAAGAAACCUGCGGCAAUUAUUUGUAACAUACCUUUCUACUCGCCACCGCCUUAUUGUACAGUGCCUGGAGCUCUCUGUAAGGCUUUCACGCUGUCUAGAAAAAUUCGUAUAAAAUAGGUUCCUCCAAGCGCGAAUGCAAGUCAGUGCGCUCACCAUUGCCAUGCUGUUCUCAUGGCUAGUUUCAGUUUUGUUGGCAAUCCUUCACGCUGUAGCGUGGUGUGGCCUCUUGGCGUUUAUUUGUCUCGUCUUUUGGUCCAACAAUAACCGAGCGUUCGCCCGUUUAGUCUUUCUUGUGUCUCCGUUAAAUGCAGUGAUGAGUCUCUAAAUUUUGCUUGAAGGACGACAAGAGUUAUACCGGUCUGCAUUUAAUGUAUACGACGUUAUCUAAUACUCGAUCACUACUCACGACGGCAAAACAUUUAGAUAACUCGUUUCUCAUAAUCAAUUAUUGUAAAUUCCUAUUGUGCUUCCACUAUCACCAGUGUUAAUCCUACGCUACUGCUCGAAUUCGCCAGUAGCCUUUCACUGCUUGUUAUCUUCGUGUGUCCCUAAAUACAGACAAGAGUUGACCUCUCAGCCGCUUAAAAUGUUCUGUAAAUGUAGGCCGCCGUUUCACAAUGAAAAGACAACCUGUAAUGUUUCUUAAAAUCCUUUUAAGCGAUCCGACAGUAUGCUUGUUAAAUGCUAUACAUGUUUCUACCAUAUGUUUCACCAACUGCACAUCGGCUUUGUAUUGGCUAUAGCAUAGUAGCGUAGUCUGUACUAGAUAAAUUUGGAAUCAAAUUAAAUAUUUUUGUUUUUUGAUUAGUAGGUUACAAAAUAAGGUCCUCUUAACCAGUUCUCUAUCUGUUUAGAGUCUUUUUAGCUAGAACUAGUGUCUACCUGUUACAAAGUCUAAUCUCUUUAGGACUUUUGAAGAUUCGAUUGAGGUUAGCCAUGUUUGGAAUAUGCCGUUAUAUCGAAGCUGCGUUCGGCUGCGUUACCUUGCAUAGGCAUAGCACGAACAAAAUGUAAGGUAACAAAGUUUCCAUGAAAAAUCUAUUCGUGUCCUCAGUACGAAUUUUGCACAGUCAUGGUGUGCAAAAGGAACAGCUGCGGCAAGGGAAUUACGUUUGAUUUAUCGUCUUUCUAAUGACGUGAAUGGCGUUGCCAAGAAAACCCAAAGUGAAAAUUAAUGUCUUUUUCGUCUACAAGAUUGGUGAAAUAGUAUACUGUACACUCACGUAUAAAAAAAUAUGUGGCUUUCGGUUGAAAAGGAAAGGAGAAUCUAAUUGUUUCGCUGAAGACUGCUGACGAAUUUUCAACUCUGAACGUCAUCAGCAGGAAGUGAUAAGCUAAUCCAACCUGCACUUUUCGAAAUUUGAUAAUCUAAUAACAACAUGAAUUUUUCAGUAAUUUUUAGAGCAUUAGGAUUUCCCUAACCAAGGGUAUUUCCCGACAGGUAGGACAUGAAAGUGGAACAAUCUCUUUUUUCGUUUUAAGCAAUUGUAGUGUACUGCACGAACCCAAACGACUAACGAGUGAAACCUAUCCUUUUGCAGCUGCGAGUCAUUUAACACAUCAGUACAUUUUUUUCCUUCGCUUUCCAGUUACUACACCCGUUUGCCAUGUCUCUGGUUACUAUUUCAGAACAACUACAAGCCAUACAGACUGUCUGUAAGUAUUUUGCCGGUAUUAUAAAUAACUUAAUAAGCUAGGGGAAUCUGUUAUCUUUAUGUAGCCUACGCUAUCGGUAUUGGCUAUGAAUAAUCUUCGUAGUUUUUAUUUUUAUUUAUUUUUUGUUUGAAACUCUAAGGAAUGUGGCAUUCCGGUAAAGAAAUGAAAAAUAUCGCUUAAUUUAACUGACUCUCUUGAAUUUAGGUUCAAAUAUUCAUGGACAACAACAAAAAUGGAACACAAGUGAAAGUGAUGAAGUUAGACAUAAGGGACAGGCUGAAGGACUGUUGCGGAAUAACAACUAAAUAUUUCCAAAUUUGCGCGCUAGAAUUGUUAUCUUAGCCUUUUGAUUAAUAUUCCCUCUUUAGAUCGACCUGUUCUGAAUAUUUUGAAAUCUGUUGAAUGAAUAAAAAAAAAUUCAUUUGGAUUUGCGGAAAAGUAAGGAAUUCAAACGCAUUUUAACCACAAUUUACGGAUGAAAAAAAAGUCCUUCGGGAACCUCUCCAAGGAACCUUGGCGUAUUGGUAGAAUUCCGUUCCGUCCAGUCGUCCGUGGAUGCUAAGGGCUGUCAAUAGGUGGCUAAAUAUUUCAGUGUGUUUAGGGAUUUAACUAUUGCCCUAUUGUGUUGGUAGUUUUAGAGGGAAGUAGGGGGGGGGGGGUCAUCAAAUUGUCGAUAUCUGCAGACGACAUUCUAUCCACAAUUUCUUUAUUUUCGAGACGCUGUCCGAGAAGGUUACCUUAGACAUUUGCUCAUAGCGGGCCACUCUCUUUCCGGACGUUUUUCGUCAACGCCUGGUGAAGUCUGAGCUUCAUCGCAUUACGUGCACGUGAUCGCUGCCUUGUCAUGAGGAGGUUCUCCACCGUCUCCACUAAUUUGCAAGACAAUUGAGAUGAAAAGAGGAAAUUUGAAAAGGGUUCCUUGUUCAGUUUGAACAGUUAAUGAUGUCAAGUGUGCAGUGGCUUUGCAGACAUUCAGUUGAGAGAUGCCCUGAGAUGAAUGAUCAAAUGCCGAGCCUAUUCUCAUAUCAUCUUUUUCAAUGGAGAUCCUGUCCGAGAAGGUAUAGCUUGGUUGUUGCAGGCAACUUUCUCUCUGGACAUUGUCAGUCUUUUAAAUGCUUUUUAUUGCGUUACGUGCACGGAUCGCUGCUGUUUGUUUAAGAUUCUUCAAGAGGGUCUCUACUACAUUGCAAGACAAUAUUGUGAUGGAAAUAGGAAAUUUGAUAUAGUAAUAAUAAUGUUUCCAUGGUCAGUUGAGCAGUUUAGUUGUGGGUGUUUGGUGUGCAGUGAUAUUUCAGGAGAGAUGUGUUAAAAAGUAGUCAUGUUGGCUUUAGAGUUAUUUCCAGGGAGAAAGCGCCUGAUGCUGGCAACAUGGUAAUUGUGUGCAAUUGAGACCGACUUCAUCUUCUCUGGAGUCUGGACACUGUCAGUUACAUUGUUCGUGAUCAAUGCGGUCAACGCCAACCUUCUUCUUCACAAAUAUCUUUAAGUGGCUUAGUGAAGUUAAGAUUUUUCAUGGCAUUUGAAUCUCCACGUGGACUUGUUGCGGUGAGCUGGUGAAGGGUGUGGCGAGCUGUUGCAUGACGACUGUGUGCUGGUGUGGGGAAGUGCUGCAUGCUGUCUGUGGUUUAUUGUCAGUUGUUGCUCUUUGGUAUGGAGUUCAUGUUCAGGUAAAAGAUUGCUUUCUUUAUCUGUUGAAGAAUG